AUGAUGGGAGAGAAAGAAGCUACAGUGAUGCUUUUUCAUUGUAGAAUGGAGCAUAUGUCUUUUGAUAAAAUGACUAAGGUCUUUCCUGAUGUAAUGUGUGGGGUGGAUAAGAACAAGCUUUUGUGUGAUGCUUGUGAGUUUGGCAAACACACAAGGACAUCUUAUGUGAGUAGAGGGAUUAGGAGUAUAUCUCCUUUUGUACUCAUUCAUUCAGAUGUGUGGACAUGUCCUGUUAUCUCUGUUAGUGGAAUGAAGUACUUUGUUACAUUUAUUGACCGUUACUCUCGCAUGACAUGGAUAUACCUUAUGAGGCACAAGGAUGAGGUGUUCAAGUGUUUUCUGGAUUUUUAUGCUUAUGUGAAAAAUCAAUUCAACACAUAG
RNAcentral lists this ribosomal RNA (381 nucleotides) under Triticum aestivum (bread wheat). RNAcentral describes it as "partial small subunit ribosomal RNA". The record is from RNAcentral. Lineage: Eukaryota; Viridiplantae; Streptophyta; Magnoliopsida; Poales; Poaceae.